GACGAACGCUGGCGGCGUGCUUAACACAUGCAAGUCGAACGAAGAGCGAUGGAAGCUUGCUUCUAUCAAUCUUAGUGGCGAACGGGUGAGUAACGCGUAAUCAACCUGCCCUUCAGAGGGGGACAACAGUUGGAAACGACUGCUAAUACCGCAUACGAUCUAAUCUCGGCAUCGAGGAUAGAUGAAAGGUGGCCUCUACAUGUAAGCUAUCACUGAAGGAGGGGAUUGCGUCUGAUUAGCUAGUUGGAGGGGUAACGGCCCACCAAGGCGAUGAUCAGUAGCCGGUCUGAGAGGAGGAACGGCCACAGUGGGACUGAGACACGGCCCAGACUCCUACGGGAGGCAGCAGUGGGGAAUCUUCCGCAAUGGACGAAAGUCUGACGGAGCAACGCCGCGUGAGUGAUGACGGCCUUCGGGUUGUAAAGCUCUGUUAAUCGGGACGAAAGGCCUUCUUGCGAAUAGUGAGAAGGAUUGACGGUACCGGAAUAGAAAGCCACGGCUAACUACGUG
This 510-nucleotide ribosomal RNA is filed under the name uncultured bacterium. Its description in RNAcentral is "partial 16S ribosomal RNA". It matches the Rfam family "Bacterial small subunit ribosomal RNA", at positions 28 to 507 of the family's 1533-position model. The record is from RNAcentral.